GAUGAACGCUGGCGGCGUGCCUAAUACAUGCAAGUCGAGCGAACAGACGAGGAGCUUGCUCCUCUGACGUUAGCGGCGGACGGGUGAGUAACACGUGGAUAACCUACCUAUAAGACUGGGAUAACUUCGGGAAACCGGAGCUAAUACCGGAUAAUAUAUUGAACCGCAUGGUUCAAUAGUGAAAGACGGUUUUGCUGUCACUUAUAGAUGGAUCCGCGCCGCAUUAGCUAGUUGGUAAGGUAACGGCUUACCAAGGCAACGAUGCGUAGCCGACCUGAGAGGGUGAUCGGCCACACUGGAACUGAGACACGGUCCAGACUCCUACGGGAGGCAGCAGUAGGGAAUCUUCCGCAAUGGGCGAAAGCCUGACGGAGCAACGCCGCGUGAGUGAUGAAGGUCUUCGGAUCGUAAAACUCUGUUAUUAGGGAAGAACAAAUGUGUAAGUAACUAUGCACGUCUUGACGGUACCUAAUCAGGAAGCCACGGCUAACUACGUG
RNAcentral lists this ribosomal RNA (497 nucleotides) under uncultured bacterium. RNAcentral describes it as "partial 16S ribosomal RNA". It matches the Rfam family "Bacterial small subunit ribosomal RNA", at positions 28 to 507 of the family's 1533-position model. The record is from RNAcentral.